UGUAAGGAUUGCUUUUAUGGAUUUAAAGUUUGAUUAUGGCUUUUGAAGGGUUAAAAUGGUAUUAUUUAAUUUUAAUUUAUGGUGUAGGCAAUGUGAAUUUACCUUGGUAAUUUAUUAUUUGUAAUUUAUUAGUUCCAGAAUAAUCGGCUAUGCUAAUAAAAUUUAAACUUUAUUUUUGUUGUGGCAUGAAAGUGGUUUUUUAGCUUUGAGAGUUUUAGGUAAAAUUGAGACUUUUGUUGGUGUUGGGUUGUGUCAUUAAGGUUUUGGGGGCGAAUUAGAUUAGUACCUAAUUAGUAAAAAAAUUAAAUGUUCAGGAGUAAAGUAGGAUUUAAACUGAAAGAAUAUUGGCAGAUUUUCUAAAUUAUCUUUGGAGGUUGAGUGAUGAUUGAGAACCCUCAUUAACUACUUGGUUUUUUGGCUCAUGUAUGAUCGUUUAUUUUAUGUUUAAGAUAUAGAAUUUUAAAUUUUUUUUUGAAAAAAUAGAUAUAUAUUUGGUGGAUAAUUGAGUUUAAUUUGACCUACAUUAUUGAGGAUUUUGGAUUGUUAAGGUAGUGUUAAUAUGAAAUUGUAAAAGACAGUAAAAAAGUCUUUAUGUCUUUUUGAAGAGUAUUUAGAAAUGGUACAAAUCAUCCAUCAAUUGCCUAUAGGGGAGUAAGUUGUAGUAAAGUAGAUUUAGGGGAACCUGUAUCUAGGAGUU
This 697-nucleotide non-coding RNA is filed under the name Angiostrongylus vasorum (French heartworm). The record is from RNAcentral. Lineage: Eukaryota; Metazoa; Nematoda; Chromadorea; Rhabditida; Metastrongylidae.